Molecule: RNA transcript, 8293 nt
Organism: Trachemys scripta elegans
Lineage: Eukaryota; Metazoa; Chordata; Testudines; Emydidae
Gene: PCDH1
Gene name: protocadherin 1
Exons: 6
Source: RefSeq, a predicted model, not a curated record
CUCACACACGCCGAGAGCCGGACACUGCGACGGACACGGCUGCGCCAGCCCCGCUCGCCGCGCCGGGAGGGAGCUGCAGCCCCGACCUGCAGCAACUGGUCCCCCGGGAUUCCGCCUAUUUUGUGGGGAACCAUCCGGAGGCGCGGAGCGGAACCGGUCCCGGCAGGGGAUGGAGAAGCCGGAGGUGCCGCGCACACGGCGCUCUCCGCUGCCAACCCCUGUCCAGUGCAGGAUGACGUGGCUGGCAGCCUGCCUGGGCCUGUGGCUCUUCCUGCAGCUCCCCACCUUGGGCGCUGGGACACGCGUGGUCUACAAAGUGCAGGAGGAACAGCCGCCCAACACACUCAUUGGGAGCUUGGCUGCCGACUACGGCUUUCCUGACGUGGGGCACCUCUAUAAACUGGAAGUGGGGGCUCCCUACCUGCGUGUGGAUGGCAAGACAGGGGACAUUUACACCACGGAGACCUCCAUCGACCGGGAGAGCCUGCGGGAGUGCCAGAGCCAGUUCCCAGGGGAACUCUGCUUCCUGGAGUUCGAGGUGUCCAUCACAGACCUGAUGAUGAACAGCAGCCCGCGCCUGCUGGAAGGGCAGAUUGAGGUGCUGGACAUCAAUGACAACACGCCCAACUUCGCCUCGCCUGUCAUCACACUGGCCAUUCCCGAGAACACCAACAUUGGGGCACUCUUCCCAAUCCCCCCAGCCAUGGACCGUGACGCAGGCGCCAACGGGGUUGCCUCCUAUGAGCUCCUGGCUGGGCCCGAGGCGCAGGAGCUCUUCGGCCUGCAGGUGGCUGAGGAUCAGGAUGAGAAGCAGCCGCAGCUGAUUGUCAUGGGGAACUUGGACCGGGAGCAGUGGGACUCCUAUGACCUGACCAUCAAGGUGCAGGAUGGAGGCAGCCCACCGCGGGCGAGCAGCGCCCUGCUGCGUAUCACCAUCCUGGACAUGAAUGACAACACCCCCAAGUUCGAGAAGGCCCUGUAUGAGGCGGAGCUCUCAGAGAACAGCCCCGUGGGGCACUCCGUCCUCCAGGUGAAAGCCAACGACUCGGAUCAGGGUGCCAAUGCCGAGAUUGACUACUCAUUCCACCAGCCUACAGACAUGGUGCGUCGCCUGCUGCGCCUGGACAGGACCACGGGCCUCAUCACUGUGCAGGGGCCCAUUGACCGGGAGGACGUCAAUAUCCUCAAGUUCUCUGUCCUGGCCAAGGACAAGGGGGCCAAUCCCAAGAGUGCCCGCACCCAGGUGGUGGUGACCAUCAAGGACAUGAAUGACAACGCCCCCUCCAUUGAAAUCCGGGGUAUUGGCCUCGUCACCCAUCAGGACGGCAUGGCCAACAUCUCCGAGGAUGUGCCCGUGGAGACGGCCGUGGCUCUGGUACAGGUGUCUGACCGGGAUGAGGGUGAGAACGCUGUGGUCACCUGUGUGGUUGCUGGCGAUGUCCCGUUCCAGCUGAGACAGGCCAGCGAGACGGGCAGUGACAGCAAGAAGAAGUACUUCUUGCAGACCACCACGCCGUUGGACUACGAGGCGGUGAAGGAGUACACCAUCGAGAUCGUGGCUGUGGAUUCGGGGAACCCACCCCUCUCCAGUACCAACUCCCUCAAGGUGCAGGUGGUGGAUGUGAACGACAAUGCCCCAGUCUUCAGCCAAAGCCUCACCGAGGUGGCCUUCCCCGAGAACAAUGCCCCUGAUGACCUGGUGGUAGAGGUGAGCGCCAGUGACGCUGACAGUGGCUCCAAUGCCAAGCUGGUUUACUCCCUGGUCAUGGACCCCUCCUCCAAGGGCUUCUUCUCCAUCGACCCUGACUCAGGCGAGAUCCGAGUGAAGACGGUGCUGGACCGGGAGCAGAGGGAGCGCUAUGAGUUCCUGGUGGUGGCAGCUGACAAGGGCAGCCCCAGUCUCAAGGGCACGGCAUCUGUGGCCAUCAAUGUCAUGGACAGGAAUGACAACGACCCCAAGUUUAUGCUGAGCAGCUACAACUUCUCAGUGAUGGAGAACAUGCCUCCCCUGAGCCCAGUGGGCAUGGUGACAGUGAUUGACGCUGACAAGGGCGACAACGCCCGAAUCCAGCUGUCAGUGGAGCAGGACAAUGGGGACUUUGUCAUCCAGAAUGGCACUGGCACCAUACUCUCCAGCAUCUCCUUUGACCGGGAGCAGCAGAGCACGUACACCUUUCGGCUCAAAGCUGUGGAUGGAGGGGACCCUCCCAGAUCCGCCUACGUGGGGGUGACCAUCAACGUGCUGGACGAGAAUGACAAUGCCCCUUUCAUCACCUCCCCUUCCAAUGCCUCUUACAAGCACAUCCUGCCCCACACCAGCCCCGGGCAGCAGGUCAGCAAGGUCAAGGCUGAGGACAUUGACUCGGGAGUCAAUGCAGAGCUGACCUACAGCAUCACGGGGGGCAACCCCUUCGAGCUGUUCCAGAUCUCACCGCAGAGCGGGGACAUCACGCUGGAGAAGGAGAUCCUGCGUAAGCACCAUGGCCUGCACCGCCUGGUGGUGCGUGUCAACGACAGGGGCAAGCCCUCGCGCCAUGGCACCGCGCUGGUGCACUUCUACGUCAAUGAGACCCUGGCCAACCGCACGCUGCUGGAGACCCUGCUGGGACACAGCCUGGACACGCCGCUGGACAUCGACAUUGCUGGCGACCCCGAGUACGAGCGCAGCAAGCAGCGCAGCAACAUUCUCUUCGGCGUCAUUGCUGGCAUCGUGGCCGUCACCCUGGUUAUUGUGCUGGUGGUGCUGGUGCGCUACUGCCGGCAGAGGGAGGCCAAGAGCGGCUACCAGGCGGGCAAGAAGGAGACCAAGGACCUGUACGCCCCCAAUCAGGGCAACAAGAGCAGCAAGAGUAAGAGCAAAGUGAAGAAGAGCAAGUCCCCCAAGCCGCCCAAACCGGCCGAUGACGAGGAGGAGACUGGGCUGCAGAAGUCCCUCAAGUUCAACCUCAUGAAUGACUCCGUCAGUGACAGCCCCCGCAUCCACCUGCCUCUCAACUACCCGCCUGGGAGCCCGGAUCUGGGACGCCACUACCGCUCCAACUCCCCACUGCCCUCCAUCCAGUUGCAGCCCCAGUCGCCCUCUGCCUCUAAGAAGCACCAGGUGGUGCAGGACCUGCCUGCCACUAACACCUUUGUGGGCACUGGGGACAACAACUCGACAGGCUCCGAGCAGUACUCUGACUACAGCUACCGCACCAACCCCCAGAAAUACACCAACAAGCAGUUACCUCAUCGCCGAGUGACAUUCUCUGCAGCUAAUCAGGCACAGGACUUGCAGGACCCCUCACAACAUAGUUACUAUGACAGCGGGCUAGAAGAGUCAGAAACUCCCAGCAGCAAGUCAUCAUCAGGGCCCCGAAUUGGGCCACUAGCUCUGCCUGAGGAUCAUUAUGAGCGCACCACACCCGAUGGUAGUAUUGGGGAGAUGGAGCACCCUGAAAACGGAGACUGUUCAAAGCCUAAGAGAUCUGAUGGGCGGAUGAUCAUCUUUUGAGAUCUCUUCUGCUGGAAGGCAAAGUGCAUAGUAGCUGUGUCUUUUCUUCUGCCAGAGAUACAUCCCUGCAGAGGCCACUGCCUUCCCUGCCCCUAAGCAGUGAUUGGCACUGUACCUAAUGCAAAGGACACCUCACCUCAUGGCACCGCUGUCCAAAGAGGGCUACUCAUCCUUGCCAAUUUACUCCUUCUCCCUGGCAUCAAAGAUGCCUCUCUUCUGCCUUCAGAGACUGAUUCCAAGGACAGUACAGAAGUCCUUUCCCCAAAGCUCUGCCUCAAACAAGAUGGGAUUGGCACUGAGCUGACCUGACUAGCCUCAACUGAGCCAGACCUCUGUUGCGUUCCACGUUGGCCAUACUAGCCUUACUGGGGUCCAUUAUGCCAUUUGCUCCAGAGCAGAUAGACCUCUAAUGCAUCCAAAAAGAGGAGGAAAUCCUGCUAUUCAACAACUUAAUUGGCCAGACCUGAUCAAGUUAACAGAAGGUCAGCAGCCACCCCAUCUCCACCCAAAGGAGUCAUCUUCAUUGCCUGAUGAGGCAGUAACACCAGUCCCUACCCCAGCGGUCGAUGACUUGAAAGCAUUCCAGGAUCUUCUGUAUCACCAUGCAGAGACCAUGAACAUCAAAACAACAGUCAAACAAGAGACGUUCCACACGUUGUUGGAUAUUCUCAAUUCAACUAUUCCAGACAGGAUUGCCCUUCCCAUCAAUGAAGGCAUACUGGAGCCAGCCAAGGGACUCUGGCACACCCCAGCCACUCUUCCUUGCACACUAAACAGUUGUAGAAAAUAUAUUGGGUGCCCCCAAAGGACUUUGAACAUGUUUAAGCCCCCCCCAAGCCCAGAGUUUUAGUAGUUUCUGCAGUCCAGGAGAAAUCCAGGUCUUCAAAAGGUACUCCUAAGGACAAAGACCCAAAUAAAUUAGACAAGUAUGAGGGCAAAGUGUCCUCCUUAGCCUCACUUCAGUUCAGGUAGGGGGAAGACUACUAGGCCUUAUUUGUGAAAUACAGCUUCCCCACCUGGGAGAUGGUCACUCCCUUCUUGUCAAAAAUCCCACAGGAGCACAAGAGGGAGUGAAAAGAAAUCUUAAAAGAAGACCAAAUGUUCAUGAGAAUGGCAUUGCAGGCACCCAUGGAUGCAUCUGAUGCAGUUGAGAGGUCGGUGGCUGUGGCUGUCACUAUGAGAUGGGCUUCUUGGAUGCUAGCAUCCAGAAUAUCUCAAGGGGUGUAAGCCACCAUCAGGAUCUGCCCUUUGAGGGGAUGGAACUCUUUAGUCAAAGAGCCAAUGAGCGGCUCCUGCGCUGGAAAGACUCAAGGGUUGCGUUAAACAGGUAUUGUCUGCAUAGGAAAACGUUUGCAGACAUUUCCAUUUGUAGCUGAUACAGCAUGUACAGAGAGAAAAAUAGAGACAUUUCUAUCAAAAACACCUGUAGCUUAGGAGGCUGUUCCUUGAGCUAGGACGCUGAGUUCCAAUCUCAAUUGUACUGACCCUGAGGCAUUUAAGGAUGUGCUACCACCCUGCUUUCUUUACAAUCAAAUUAAUACAGAGGUUAUACAAGGUCACUUCAGGUACACUUAAGAAUUGGGGCCAGGUCUCAAAUAUGUUAGGCCCAAAUCUUAACCACACUGCCUGUCAGUGCCCUGCCACAGCCUGGUGGUAACACAGCGUAGUGGGACACAACACCCUUGUCUGGGCCCUGUCCCUGAGAUUGGGAGGGUGGUGUAGGUUCUAGAAACUCCUUACUUUUCAGCACCUCCCCUAAGGCUGGAGUCUCAAAAUGGUAACAGCAGCAGGACAUGGUGCUGCUGUCACACUUAUUGUGACUUUUAGCUACAGGCUAGGGCACUCAGAUAGUAUGUGGGAGACCUGGGUUCAAUUCCCCCUUCUGCCUGAUUUGGGUAAAAGGUAUUUGAACAUAGGUCUACCACAUUAUAGGAGAGUAGCCUAGCCACUUGGCUAUGGGACAUCCAGUUCUGGGAAUUUUUCUAUCUCCCCUGUUGAAGCUGUUCCACUUCGUUUAAAUAAUUAUUGGAGUAGGGACAUGAACUUGGGUCACCCGUGUUGUCAGGUGUUGGACUGCAUGCAUGUAUUCUUUCUGCGUGUUGCACUGGCUUUGGCCAGAUAGCCCAUACAGCAUGUUCUGAUGGAACUGCCCAUUAAAACCACAAGACUUGGUUUAGUAGCGAAGGCACCCGGCCAGUUUUAUUGCCAAUGAAGUAUGGUGCUAAUGCCCCAGCUCAAUGGUUACAGGUACCCCAAAACACGUAUGUCCGUGACAAUGGACCAGCUCAGUGAAUGACAGGACUUUCCUAGGCCAGACAGAAACACUCCCUUCGAGGUUUCAUUUUGUACAUCAAUACAAACAUGCUACAUGUUGCCCCUCUGAUGUGAUUAGUUACUGCCCCCUGAUGUGGGUUGUUACCACCCAUUACCUUUUACAUGUUGAUUCGAUCAGAACAUCUUUAUCUAUGACCUUCCUGAUCCACUGUCAUCCUGACCUUAUCUUUAGGAGGAGUCAGCAUGUUCCUAUUAUCUUUAGGGAAUGUGUAGGCAUUGAGGUGUUCUAGUACCACCCUUCUGGAAUGUGUUUGUGUGAGUGCUCUGUGGCUAGCGCCUUGUAGGAAUGUGUGUUUUUGCAAUAUCAGCCCUGUUCUUGCCAGAUUCUGUGAGCAGGGCCUGCCUGUAGCUCACAAUCUGAUUUUGCUUUAUAUCACCAAAGCUUUGACUGCUGCUGUAGCUCAGGCCUCAUACAAGGGCUUAUGUUUCAGGUCCUCUUCUUACUACAAUGUGUGUUGUAAACCAGGGGUAUUCAAUAGGCAGACCGCGGGCCAAAUCCAGACUGCCAGAUGCUUUUGAAUGGACCCAAAAAUCUUUUUAUUUACUUAUUAUAAUUAUUGUUGUUUUAUUAUUUUCUCUGGAAUCUUGACUUUGACUAUACCAUGAUCAAGAAAUUUGGCCUUUGACAAAAAAAUAAUUGACUACCCCUCCACUAGGUUGUAAAGUCAGUCAUACAGGACAAUGAAUAGUGUGUUGCUCCCCAGGGGUAACCAGGGUUGUGAGGGAUCUCACCACUACUUGCCCUUAGCAUGAAACAGACUUAUCUGUGCCUGCUGUAGCUCAGCUCCCUGAAACCAACAGCCUCUGACAACACAAGCACUGUCUUCCAGGCCUCCGCAGACCUUGCUGUCUCUGUACAGGUUAGUGACAGGCACACACUGACCCCCGAGUCCUGAGAGCAUUCCAUGCAGUUCCCAGCCCUUAACCACUGGAUACUCAUAGAAAUUACCAGGUUUGCUGUCCUCAAAAGAACAGUGUACACACAGUUUGAAUAUUACAAUGCACUGAGAUAUAUUUAUAAUGAAAACAAUCAUAAAGUUAUUAUCAAAAGCUAAGAUUUAAGACAUAGUGCAUAAGCAUAAUGGAAACAAAAAUGGUUACACAUAAAACAAAGAUUCAUAGAGCCUAAACUUACCUUUAACUAGCUAAACCCUUUUCUGAAGUAGUUUGUCUCACCUAAAGCAAUCUCCCAGCAUCUCCAACCAACCUGGCUGGGAUCCCCCUUUCAUGAAUGCAAAAAACACUUUCCUUUUUGCUUCCUCAGUGUGCCUUCUUCUUAUACCCCCCACCCCAAAAUUCACUAUUUGCCCCCAGAAUAAGGGUGACCCCCCUCUCCCCGAAGACCUAUUUCCUGGUAUGCUGACUUCAUGUUGACUUCACAUCCUCAUGUAGACUUUAUAUGCACACAGAGCUUCCAUUGGGUUGGCCUACAAUGCUUAAUUUAUAUGUGACUGAGGCAGACAGGAAAAUAUACAUCCUUUGUCUGGCAGAAACCUGUUUGUUAACCCUGCUUUGAUUCAGACUUUAAAACAUAUUUUCCAGUAUAUACACAUAGUGUCAGUACAUAGACAUCACAAUAGUAUUAAUAACCAGUAUGAUCCUGGCUUUCAUUUUAGAUCUCACAUGACAUUCUUUAUAGAUAAAUACUACGAAAGCAGUGUGCUAUGUAUAGUGAGUUCGUCCGUUCGGAUGGAGCUGCUGUUACAGAACAGUGAACCCUUGCCAGGUGGCAUUGAGGGGUUCUUAGAGUCACAAAUACUCAAUGGACCAGGGCACCAGUAUGAGAAUGACUUAGCCUAGUGGUUAGGGUAUUCACAUGGGACACAGAUGUGAAAAACUUCUUCCUUGUUGUGUGGCCAUUUUGUUAAUCAACCUGCUUUGCUUUUGUUAAAGUGCCCAAAAUAGAAAUGAAAAAUUUUGUGCUUGUAAGAGACGUGAGGCAUAGGCAGUCUUGCCUAGCAGUCACAGCUGGACUGAGAUCUGCCCACCAGGGAUGGGAGUUGCCGGGCCAGAGUUAUAGGAAUCACAAGGCCAGGUUUCAUAAACAAGAGUCAGGGUCAGAGUCAGGAUGGGGCCAGAGAUCAGAGGUAGUACCAGGUUAGAAUCAAGAGGCAGGAAUCAGGGUCAUCAGAGUCAGCCUGGAGUCAGAGACCAGAGCUCAGGAGACAAGGCAAAGUCCAGCAUUGUAGCAGGCCAAGGUCUAUGUGGUUGCUUAGACAACUUCCUGAGCCAACACCUAGGAUUAAGUAGGGGCACUUGGCCAAUCAGAGGACUGCAGGGAACUGUCACUCUGGAUCUCGUGGGUGGUACUUCCUGCGAUGCCUAUUCUCCACAGCGCUUCCUGGCUGUGCCUCUGCAGGGCCUUCUGCUGGUAUGGUGGGAAUAUCAGCCACCCCAGGCUCUGCAGAUCUAGGUUUUAGUCCCUGCAUCCUUACAAAACUGAGGCAAUUGAAAUGUUUAAUUUCA